AUUCAGACAAGUAGCAGCAGCUCCAGGGCUUCAGAUAAUUUCUGUGUUUCAGUUCUUUUCAUUCCAUCCCUCUCAAGUAGUGCUUUGUCUCAGGGGUUGUUGUUUAAAUUCAAGCUCCAUCAUUGUGACUGCUGUACUAGGAGAAAAGUCAGAAGAGUGGAAAAUUUUGAAGAAGUAUCUCUGGCAAGAAUCUAGAAAGUUUUCUUCUAGGACUAUCAAGGACUAUGUGGAUCUGACAGGCACUUCUGCUCAGCUCUCCUCUAGAGACUCCUAGAACAUCAUCGUUUCCUGAUUUCUUUGCUGGCUGCUUUUAUAACCAAACUCCAAACAUCAAAAUUAUCAUCUUAGUCCUGGGUGUUCUGUCCUAAUGUGUUAACUGCAAAAAUGACCUCAAUUCUUAGGAACUUCUGCCAUCAGUAGCUGGAGUCUAUUGGGUUUCAAGUCUGGGCCUCAAGAGGCAUUGCAAACUUUCAUCCUCUCUUUUGAGAUUUCAGCACCAUCACCAAAUGAACAAGUCCCAGGUAGCCUGCUGGAGGAUGUACAACCAUGUGGAACGCCGAUGAGCCAUCACAGCUGAGUUGUUUUGGACCUGCUAGCUCUAAACCAAUGUCGCAGCUGUCUGUAGAAGCACGAAUGAGAUAUGGCCAAGCUCCAUUGAGCCUGGCCCAGAUAAGCAGAACUGUUUCACGGAGCCCAGGACAAAUUGCCAAACCCCAGUAUUGUGUAUUCAAUAAUUUCUAGUUGUUCUAAGCCACUAAGUUUCAGGGUGACUUGUUAAGUGGUUAUAACUACCUAAUAAGUACAUUUUGUAUUUCCUUUUUAUUAUCAUCUACCAUAGCCUGUUAUUAUUUUCUUUGUUUGUUUAUUUAUUUAUUAGCUGUUUCUCUGCAAAUGUAGGACAAUUGCAUUGUCUUGUCCUCUGAUGUAUUCAAAACAGUUGGUGACUGGCACGUCAAAGACACUUAUUGAAAAGUUACUGAAUAAAUGAACACAUGAUUGGAUGAAUAAAUGUUUAUAGGUAAAACUUCCAAAAGUAUAUUGAUAAAAAUGAAUAUUUCUAUCAGUUAUAUUAAUAACUUAUUUGCUGUCUAGAAUGACUCAGGAAAUUUAAUGUAUAUUAUUAAAGCACAAUUUCUAUUUUUUGUUUUAGGUUGUUUUUCUGCCAUUGCUAUCUACUUUGAUUAUUUUGCUAU
This 1193-nucleotide long non-coding RNA is filed under the name Homo sapiens (human). Its description in RNAcentral is "HSALNT0052907". The record is from RNAcentral. Lineage: Eukaryota; Metazoa; Chordata; Mammalia; Primates; Hominidae.